GCGUAACACGUGAGCAACCUGCCCCGAAGACCGGGACAACCGAUGGAAACGUCGGCUAAUACCGGAUGCCCUCACCGGAUCGCAUGGUCUGGUGAGGAAAUGGAUUCCGCUUCGGGAUGGGCUCGCGGUCUAUCAGCUUGUUGGUGGGGUAACGGCCCACCAAGGCGACGACGGAUAGCUGGUCUGAGAGGACGAUCAGCCACACUGGGACUGAGACACGGCCCAGACUCCUACGGGAGGCAGCAGUGGGGAAUCUUGCGCAAUGGGGGAAACCCUGACGCAGCGACGCCGCGUGCGGGAUGAAGGCCUUCGGGUUGUAAACCGCUUUCAGCAGGGACGAAAUUGACGGUACCUGCAGAAGAAGGCCCGGCCAACUACGUGCCAGCAGCCGCGGUAAUACGUAGGGGCCUAGCGUUGUCCGGAUUUAUUGGGCGUAAAGAGCUCGUAGGCGGUUCGGCAAGUCGGAUGUGAAAUCUCCACGCUUAACGUGGAGGGGCCAUUCGAAACUGCCGUGACUCGAGUCCGGUAGGGGAGUGUGGAAUUCCCGGUGUAGCGGUGAAAUGCGCAGAUAUCGGGAGGAA
Molecule: ribosomal RNA, 581 nt
Filed under: uncultured Actinomycetes bacterium
Lineage: Bacteria; Bacillati; Actinomycetota; Actinomycetes
Description: bacterial SSU rRNA
Rfam family: Bacterial small subunit ribosomal RNA
Source: RNAcentral